RNAcentral lists this ribosomal RNA (1354 nucleotides) under uncultured bacterium. Its description in RNAcentral is "bacterial SSU rRNA". It matches the Rfam family "Bacterial small subunit ribosomal RNA", at positions 29 to 1381 of the family's 1533-position model. The record is from RNAcentral.
UUGAACGCUGGUGCCUGCCUUACGCAUGCAAGUCGAACGGCAGCAUAGGAGCUUGCUCCUGAUGGCGAGUGGCGAACGGGUGAGUAAUAUAUCGGAACGUGCCCUAUGGUGGGGGAUAACUAGUCGAAAGAUUAGCUAAUACCGCAUACGAUCUACGGAUGAAAGUGGGGGAUCGCAAGACCUCAUGCUCGUGGAGUGGCCGAUAUCUGAUUAGCUAGUUGGUGGGGUAAAAGCUCACCAAGGCGACGAUCAGUAGCUGGUCUGAGAGGACGACCAGCCACACUGGGACUGAGACACGGCCCACACUCCUACGGGAGGCAGCAGUGGGGAAUUUUGGACAAUGGGGGCAACCCUGAUCCAGCAAUGCCGCGUGAGUGAAGAAGGCCUUCGGGUUGUAAAGCUCUUUUGUCAGGGAAGAAACGGUUGUGGCUAAUAUCCACGGCUAAUGACGGUACCUGAAGAAUAAGCACCGGCUAACUACGUGCCAGCAGCCGCGGUAAUACGUAGGGUGCGAGCGUUAAUCGGAAUUACUGGGCGUAAAGCGUGCGCAGGCUGUUUUGUAAGACAGAUGUGAAAUCCCCGGGCUCAACCUGGGAACUGCAUUUGUGACUGCAAGGCUAGAGUGUGUCAGAGGGGGGUAGAAUUCCACGUGUAGCAGUGAAAUGCGUAGAUAUGUGGAGGAAUACCGAUGGCGAAGGGCAGCCCCCCUGGGAUAACACUGACGCUCAUGCACGAAAGCGUGGGGAGCAAACAGGAUUAGAUACCCUGGUAGUCCACGCCCCUAAACGAUGUCAACUAGUUGUUGGGACUUAAUUGUCUUGGUAACGCAGCUAACGCGUGAAGUUGACCGCCUGGGGAGUACGGUCGCAAGAUUAAAACUCAAAGGAAUUGACGGGGACCCGCACAAGCGGUGGAUGAUGUGGAUUAAUUUGAUGCAACGCGAAAAACCUUACCUACGCUUGACAUGUACGGAAUCUUGAAGAGAUUUGGGAGUGCUCGAAAGAGAGCCGUAACACAGGUGCUGCAUGGCUGUCGUCAGCUCGUGUCGUGAGAUGUUGGGUUAAGUCCCGCAACGAGCGCAACCCUUGUCAUUAGUUGCUACGAAAGGGCACUCUAAUGAGACUGCCGGUGACAAACCGGAGGAAGGUGGGGAUGACGUCAAGUCCUCAUGGCCCUUAUGCGUAGGGCUUCACACGUCAUACAAUGGUACAUACAGAGGGUUGCCAACCCGCGAGGGGGAGCUAAUCUCAGAAAGUGUAUCGUAGUCCGGAUUGAAGUCUGCAACUCGACUUCAUGAAGUGGAAUCGCUAGUAAUCGCGGAUCAGCAUGUCGCGGUGAAUACGUUCCCGGGUCU